Molecule: microRNA precursor, 145 nt
Filed under: Gossypium arboreum
Lineage: Eukaryota; Viridiplantae; Streptophyta; Magnoliopsida; Malvales; Malvaceae
Description: MIR7502 microRNA precursor family
Rfam family: MIR7502 microRNA precursor family
Source: Rfam by way of RNAcentral
UGUUAAAAGUUUUAUCUAUUUAGACUGUUAAAAAUUGGAGUAACUGACAAAAUAACCAAAUAGAAAAAUGUGACAUGUCACUUAUACUUCAUGCUAACGUAUAGAGAUCAAUUUUUAUUAAUAACAAUAGAUGAAAUUUUUUAUA